RNAcentral lists this ribosomal RNA (510 nucleotides) under uncultured bacterium. Its description in RNAcentral is "bacterial SSU rRNA". It matches the Rfam family "Bacterial small subunit ribosomal RNA", at positions 19 to 518 of the family's 1533-position model. The record is from RNAcentral.
AUGGCUCAGAACGAACGCUGGCGGCGCGUCUUAAGCAUGCAAGUCGAACGGCAAGAGGUAGCAAUACCUCCUAGAGUGGCGGACUGGUGAGUAACACGCGGGUGACAUACCCUCAGGAUGGGGAUAGCUAUUAGAAAUAGUAGAUAAUACCGAAUACGAGCACAGGGGUUAGAGAUCUGUGAGGAAAGGAGCUAAGGCUCCGCUGAAGGAAUGGCCUGCGGCCCAUUAGCUAGUUGGUGAGGUAAGAGCCCACCAAGGCGAUGAUGGGUAUCCGGCCUUAGAGGGUGAACGGACACAUUGGGACUGAGAUACGGCCCAGACUCCUACGGGAGGCAGCAGCUAAGAAUAUUCCGCAAUGGACGAAAGUCUGACGGAGCGACGCCGCGUGGAUGAAGAAGGCCGGAAGGUUGUAAAAUCCUUUUGAAACUGAAGAAUAAGCGUUGUAGGGAAUGACAGCGUGGUGACAGUAGGUUUUGAAUAAGCAACGGCUAAUUACGUGCCAGCCGCGGC